This 67-nucleotide small nucleolar RNA is filed under the name Carlito syrichta (Philippine tarsier). RNAcentral's name for it is "Small nucleolar RNA SNORD59 (ENSTSYG00000025152.2)". It matches the Rfam family "Small nucleolar RNA SNORD59". From Rfam's summary of the family: U59 belongs to the C/D class of snoRNA which contain the C (UGAUGA) and D (CUGA) box motifs. Most of the members of the box C/D family function in directing site-specific 2'-O-methylation of substrate RNAs. The record is from Rfam by way of RNAcentral. Lineage: Eukaryota; Metazoa; Chordata; Mammalia; Primates; Tarsiidae.
CCUGCUGAUAAGUAGCUUAUGACUUUUGUUCUAAAUUUGCUGGAGCCAGAUGUUGUUCCUGAGAAGU